This 108-nucleotide small RNA is filed under the name Paenibacillus sp. Its description in RNAcentral is "Guanidine-I sequence". It matches the Rfam family "Guanidine-I riboswitch aptamer". Rfam says of the family: This family represents a conserved RNA structure found upstream of the ykkC and yxkD genes in Bacillus subtilis and related genes in other bacteria. The function of this family is unclear although it has been suggested that it may function to switch on efflux pumps and detoxification systems in response to harmful environmental molecules. Nelson showed that this riboswitch senses and responds to guanidine and it was renamed Guanidine-I riboswitch. The record is from RNAcentral. RNAcentral also lists the same sequence under 1 other name. Lineage: Bacteria; Bacillati; Bacillota; Bacilli; Caryophanales; Paenibacillaceae.
UGUUCUGUUUUCUAGGGUUCCGCAGCUGCUACAGGCUGGUCUGGUCCGAGGGAAAACGCAUGUACUACGAUGUACAUGUCUACACGGAGGGAUAAAAGCCCGGGAGGU